RNAcentral lists this microRNA precursor (193 nucleotides) under Oryza brachyantha (malo sina). Its description in RNAcentral is "MIR812 microRNA precursor family". It matches the Rfam family "MIR812 microRNA precursor family", at positions 27 to 205 of the family's 205-position model. The record is from Rfam by way of RNAcentral. Lineage: Eukaryota; Viridiplantae; Streptophyta; Magnoliopsida; Poales; Poaceae.
UUUUAGUUUUUUAUACAAUGUUUUAACUUUUCGUUUUAUUUAAAAUUUUGCGAUUAAUAUUUUUAUUCUUACUAGAUGAUAAAACAUGAAUAAUACUGUAUGCAUGACUAAUUUUUUCAAGUUUUGUUACAAAUUUUUCAAAUAAGACGAAUGGUCAAACGUUAGACAUGGAAAAACGAAAAAUGAACUUAUA